Molecule: ribosomal RNA, 446 nt
Filed under: uncultured bacterium
Lineage: Bacteria
Description: partial 16S ribosomal RNA
Rfam family: Bacterial small subunit ribosomal RNA
Source: RNAcentral
CCUACGGGUGACUGCAGUCGAGAAUCAUUCACAAUGGGGGAAACCCUGAUGGUGCGACGCCGCGUGGGGGAAUGAAGUUCUUCGGAUUGUAAACCCCUGUCAUGUGGGAGCAAAUUAAAAAGAUAGUACCACAAGAGGAAGAGACGGCUAACUCUGUGCCAGCAGCCACGGUAAUACAGAGGUCUCAAGCGUUGUUCGGAAUCACUGGGCGUAAAGCGUGCGUAGGCUGUUUCGUAAGUCGUGUGUGAAAGGCGCGGGCUCAACCCGCGGACGGCACAUGAUACUGCGAGACUAGAGUAAGGGAGGGGGAAGCGGAAUUCUCGGUGUAGCAGUGAAAUGCGUAGAUAUCGAGAGGAACACUCGUGGCGAAGGCGGGUUCCUGGACAUUAACUGACGCUGAGGCACGAAGGCCAGGGGAGCGAAAGGGAUUAGAUACCCUUGUAGUC